CCCUGCUCUCUCAGCUUCUCCUCUGAUCAGACGUGCUCCAGUCCCUUCAUCAUCAUCAUCCGUUCCUUGCUGGACUCUCUCCAGUAUGUCCAUGUCUCAUGUGCUGGGGAGUCCACCACUGGAUCCAGCACUCCAGGUACUUACAUGUCCUGCCUAACACAGUCAAACGUAAAGUUGUGAGGUUUGUGGUUGAUUCUGCUUUGUAACACAGAAACUGAUCAUCUCUGCUUUGUGGGUGGGAGUUAAGCAGCUUUCCCAAGGUCACAAGAAAGUCUGAGACAGGAGCUCAGUUCAGACCUCCUCGGCUCUAUUUAAUAGCCUCCCUUCCCAUUUAUGUGCUUUCUUUUUCUGAAGAAAAGAAAAGGAUGCAACGGAAAAUGUUUCAAGAACAGCACUACAUGCCUGAAA
Non-coding RNA from Pseudopodoces humilis (Tibetan ground-tit), 408 nucleotides. NCBI's taxonomy places the organism in Eukaryota, Metazoa, Chordata, Aves, Passeriformes, Paridae. The record is from RefSeq and is a predicted model, not a curated record.